GCUCAUACCCUCUUCUUAAAACUUUCUGGAUUAACUCUGAGUUUUAACCAGCUUUUAUCUACAUUCCUUACAACAUUUAGAAUGUGACCUAAUAAUGCAUGUGUCUUCUAAGUGAUGUGUUUAGUCAGAUUUAUUUAUAUUUAAUACCCCAUAGUGUAAAAAUCUCCCUUUUUGAAUAGUUCUGAAAGGAUAAACAAUUUAUGUCUAUUAUUAUGCUCAUCAGGUGAGACAAAGAUAAAUCAAGAAGAUAUAUCUAAAAGGAUCCAGGAACAGACAUGUUUGUUUACACUUGCAUCAAAAGAAUAAUUAUGGGCCCAAAUGAUCUAGGGAAGUCUUAUUUGAUGCCACUUCUUCUGACUUCUAUAAGUCACUUUGCUUGCACUGAAGUAAAGAGCCAGAGGUAACCCAAGGUUUCCAGGAUCUUGCUAGAGUUAGAUGUGUAGAGGUCUAACACAGCAAAUAAAUAUAUAUAAAUCUUACAAUAUGAAACUAAGAAAAAAACAUUUUUUUUUUUCAGAGCAGCAACAAAUCAACAAAAACCACAAUAUCAAUGUUUUAAACAUAUAUCCUAUCAGUAGAAGAAAUUGUAAUGUGCUUUAUCUAGGGGGGAAUUCUGAACUGUUAGAAGUUCAGUUCUGCAUAGUCUGGACAAGUAAUUAGGUCCUUUCUGUAGACCACAGAGAGAAGUAUGGAAAAAUCGUGUUGAUUUCUUUGAGGGAGCUGUUUAAACAUCUCAUAUCUGACUCUUAGUUCAGAUCAGGGAAGAUUAAUUCCAGGCUCAGUCUGGAGACAAACGGGAGGCACUUUUCCAACUGGGGUUUUACAUGCUGUUCACAUAGCAAGCACAAUUUCCUUCAAACCAGAAAAUUUUGCAAGAUCAGACUCUUUUGAAAUGAUAAAGACAUCAUUUGCUUGUUUGGUAUGUGCCAGCUGAUGGAUUCUGUUUGCCACUGUUUUAAAACAAGGAAUAGCUGCACCAACUCAUUUAUUUAAUGAUAAUGUACCAGAUUAUAGGUUUAUUAUUACAGAAAAAUAUCUGGUAUUUGGGAAAAAGGGAGAAGAAAAACAGACGCUAAGUAAGAACUCCAAAGUGAACUAUCCUGGACAACAUGUGAACUACCACUGAGCUCACCAAUAGUAUUGCACAUGCCAGAAAAGCUACUGUUCUCCAGAAAACAAGAAAACAAACACAAGUCCCCUCCAACCCAGUGCACCUUCUUUCCUAAAAGUAAUCAGCUGAGCUGGAAGAUGAAGAAAGGACACUUCAUUACAAGGUAGAGCCUGGAACAAAGCAACAUUACAGAGACUUGGUGUGCAAAGAAGAAGAGGGGAAAGUAUUGGGAAUGUCUGUCUGGAUGUAACUGAGCAGAAGCAUGAGCCUUCUUCCAUGAUUCAGAACUCCAGGCCUCAUGGGUGUCCUGUUCCCAGUGGGAGUUGAGAAAAAUGUAGCCAUGAAAAUCAGGACUGGUGAAUUUCCAAGUGGUUUCAGCCUGCUCUUUAAAGAAGUCUCAUAGUCCCCUGGUCGUUGUGUGCAGAAGCAGCUACACUGAUGACAAAGCUGGGAACUCCUGGAGAUGGUACCCUGGGACUGCUGGGACCACAUGCCCCUGGAUCAGUCCUUGGGAGAGGAUGCACAAGCAGCUUUGGCAAGGAUUCAUCUUCCUAAUCCAAGGACUGUGGUGACAGUUCCUAUAACCAGCUGAAGGAUCUAAAGACCUCACUAAUGUCAGGUCUGAGAACAAAGUGCCUGUGAUGUCCUUGCUUGAUAUUUUCCUACUUACCCAAGGAGACAGGAGCAUCAAUUCUAUUGAGAAAUGUUCCUCUCCAUGGAUUUAUCAUUUUGAUGCCUCUGUAAGGAAAAGGUGAGCUGAAUACUUAAAUACAUGGGUUGAUGUUUGUUUUGGAGUUUUGGAGUUUUUAAAAUAACCUAUUUCUGUCUGUGAAAGGUCUUUAAGCAUUCUGCAUUCUCCUUGCUUUCCAAUUAAGUUUUCUGGUGUUUCUAAUGUGGUCCUCUGGAGUGCUGGAAAGUAAUAGGAACAAGAAUGCAUUUAAUACCUGGCCUGGCGACUUGGCAGCAAAGCUUAGCACUCCAGUGUGGGGAGUAGCAGGUUCAAGCCCAACCCCAGGAGUGUUAGUACUUGGACUGGCAGAGGGCUGGUGUAAUGCACAGACAGUGAGCUCAUUCUGCAGGUGGAGUGUUCAGCUGCAUUGAUCUUGUGGCAAACCCAGCCCGCUAAGGUUUUGGAGAAACAUUGGCUCUGAUCUGAAAGGAAAUUGUGCUGCCUUUCCCUGUCUUUCCACUAGUUUAGCUUGCAAGCUCUAAUAACAUUAAAACAUACUUUAAGCAAGAAGGCUGACGCAGCUACAGAGACAAAAAGUAAUUUCCUAUAAAUAGUAAAUACAAUAAGCAAAACUCUAAUCUCUCAUUUGGUAAUUGUAUUUUCAUGGGGUCAGCCAGCCUCCCUGGCCAGGUUGAGGUCAAUUCUAAAAUAUGUGCAUUAUAUACAUUAGGCAUUUGUUAAUGAAGCAUAAAUUUCAUCAGCAAGCUGGAUGCCAAAAUCAACUCAUUUGGGUACAUGGUUUGUAUCUACAGUGGUGUCUUAUGGAUUUGUUCCAUAGCUGAAACAGCAAGUCUGUGUAGAUGCCACGAAUGGCAUACAAUAAGGGAAAAAAAAAGGAACACCACAAGCAUUAUAGAUGAGCAUAAAUCUUCUGAAUUUUGGUUAAAUGAAAUCCAGAAUGCAGUGGAUUCCAAGAUAACAGUAAAUAAAGGGUAAGGAAAAGACCAUGUUUCCAGAACCAAGAAAACCUGGUCAGGGAUAGAAAUUAUUCCAUUUGAUAAUAUCUGGUCAGUGCUACUAAUUAUUUCCUUUGACAAGACAUGACAUGAAAAAGGUAAUAAAAAAGCUAAAUACAAAGCAAACACUCAAUUUUAGAGCACCAUUUCCUAGAAGGGGUUCAGUGGGGAUUCACUCUAGAAAUUCACCAGAAUUUUGCUCAGAUCCAUCACAGGGAGCCGAGGCAGAGCAGCAGGAAGAUGACCCCUCUCAGCAGUUGAGCAAGAAGUCCUCAUCCUUACUUCUCCUGCCAGCCUAGUGUGUCAAAUGUAGGAUUUUGUUCUCAAGAAUGGUGAGCCUAAAAAUGAGAACAGGCUGAACAAACUUAAUACCCAACCUUAUGAUGAUGGUACCAUAACACUCUUCCCUUGCAAGCACAUAAGCAAUAUUACUUCUCUGCUUUGGAAGUAAGGCUUGUGAGUCCUUUCAAUGUGUAGGCUGGAAUACUGCUUUGCUUUAUUUAAUCUACACAGGGUCUGAGGACAGCAGGAUUUUGGCCAUUUUUUAUUGCCCAUUAAAGUGGAAGAAGUGUUUCAGAGUAGUAGCCAAUUUGAAAAGGAAUAUGAAAUAAAAUAAAUUCUUCAGAUUUCAGGAGCGUUCUCCAUUCAUUAAGUUUUCAUGGCUGAGCACUAGAUCAUUGCGUGCUUUGGCAGUGGAAAAUAAAAUUUCAGAAAGAGAAAACUUUCCCAGUAGCACAUGUUGGAACAACACUACAGGCUCCAAGUUGGGUUAAGCCAAUUGUAAGUUUGACAGCGGAAUUAUAUCAAUCUCUUUGAACAGGCAAUCCAAGGAAUUUUUGUAGAGCCAUGUGAGUUGUUCUCUUAGUUUCGAUUCAGUAACUUUCAUGUAAAGUGAAGGUGAGGUUUUAGUAGGCAAUAGAAUGAGCAAAUUAUUGGGAAAAAGUUUACACCAUGCCAAGAAAUGUCCUGCAAGACAUUGAAUCCCAGUGAGACUGGCAAAUGAGUGAGGGGAAAAGGUGAUCUCCUAAUUCUUCAUUCCUCUUUUCCAGUGGAGCAGAGGAUGGGUAAGUAAAGGAUGUUAGUCCGUGUUCCUGUGUACCCAAAAUUCAGGCAGCAAGGAACUGAAUAAUAGAUAUAUGGAGAAAGGAAGGAUGUAGGUAUAAAUUGACAGUUCUUCAUUAGUAGAAAUGAAAAACAUGAUGUUUUUUCUACAUGUAUUUAUGCCUGGAUGUAAAACACACUGAGACCCACAGAACCCCAUCCAUCUACUUCAGUGGGCUUUGGGACAGUGCAGACAUCACCCUGUUGGAAUGAGGCUGCAAGGAACUUUCAGAGAGGCUGUUUCUCUUCUGCUGCAGAUAUGAGGACAUAAUGGAAAACAAGGUUGCUGUCUUUCUGCUGCUGUGCCUAGUUGAAGUCACAAAGGAUGAUGAAAGGGCAUGUGAAACAACCCUGUGGAAAAAAGACUGCCUGGAUAAGAACAGGACAUCAUCCUUGGCUAGUUUCCUGAAGGUCACUACUUGGAAGCUGAAGACAAACACAAGAGAAUGGCAGUAUGAAAAUAUAAAAAAUUGGUAAAUAUUAUGAUAAUGUGAAGAGAUGGCUCUAAUAAAGAUGCCACAUCUGGAAACAGCCACGAACGUCAGCUCAACCUGUGACAGCAACGAGUGGAGCAAGAGCAGGGCCACCUGUGCUGCAGGGAGUGAGCAGCUCUCUCCUGGCCUGCUCCCAGUGGUAUUAGGACUGCUCCAUAUUUAUGCCAUAUUUAUGAAAGAUCAAAAAAAAAAAGAAAGGGAGAAAAGGAGAAAAGUGUGAGACUCUGAAGCAAUAUAGCAAACUGAUUUGUCUCAACAUAGUCACAGAACCUUCAAGCAGCCUUUUAUAGUAUUUCAUUUCACUGGAGUGCUGACACGAGUUCCAUUUCAGUGAUGGAAGAGAAUCCUACACUUCUGUGGAGCAUAAAAUGUCAUAAACAAAAGGCAAGUGAUAAAUUGGACCC
Passer domesticus (house sparrow) is the source of this 4796-nucleotide long non-coding RNA. RefSeq lists it as uncharacterized. Lineage: Eukaryota; Metazoa; Chordata; Aves; Passeriformes; Passeridae. The record is from RefSeq and is a predicted model, not a curated record. The transcript is spliced from 11 exons.